This 817-nucleotide ribosomal RNA is filed under the name uncultured eukaryote. RNAcentral's name for it is "bacterial SSU rRNA". It matches the Rfam family "Eukaryotic small subunit ribosomal RNA", at positions 629 to 1427 of the family's 1831-position model. The record is from RNAcentral.
CGUAGUUGAACUUCAGACCUGGCUGGGUGGUCCGCUUAACGGCGUGUACUGCUUGGCUGGGCCUUACUUCUUGGUGAGCCGGCGUGCCCUUUAUUGGUGUGCGUCGGGGAACCAGGACUUUUACCUUGAGAAAAUUAGAGUGUUCAAAGCAGGCCUAUGCCUGAAUACAUUAGCAUGGAAUAAUAGAAUAGGACGUGCGGUUCUAUUUUGUUGGUUUCUAGAGUCGCCGUAAUGAUUAAUAGGGACAGUUGGGGGCAUUGGUAUUGAGUCGCUAGAGGUGAAAUUCUUGGAUCGUCGCAAGACGGACAGAAGCGAAAGCAUUUGCCAAAAAUGUUUUCAUUAAUCAAGAACGAAAGUUAGAGGUUCGAAGGCGAUCAGAUACCGCCCUAGUUCUAACCAUAAACGAUGCCAGCUAGCGAUCCGCCGAAGUUCCUCCGAUGACUCGGCGGGCAGCUUCCGGGAAACCAAAGCUUUUGGGUUCCGGGGGAAGUAUGGUUGCAAAGCUGAAACUUAAAGGAAUUGACGGAAGGGCACCACCAGGAGUGGAGCCUGCGGCUUAAUUUGACUCAACACGGGAAACCUCACCAGGCCCAGACACCGGAAGGAUUGACAGAUUGAUAGCUCUUUCUUGAUUCGGUGGGUGGUGGUGCAUGGCCGUUCUUAGUUGGUGGAGCGAUUUGUCUGGUUAAUUCCGAUAACGAACGAGACUCUAGCCUGCUAAAUAGGCGUACCUUAUGGUAUCGCGAAGGCCCCCGGCUUCGGCCGGUGGGUUUUUACUACCAACGUACAAACAAAUCUUCUUAGAGGGCACAGGCGG